GCCUGCGUGGCUCAGUGGGUUAAGCGUCUGACUUCAGCUCAGGUCAUGAUCUCCAAGUCCGUGGGUUCGAGCCCCGCGUCGGGCU
This 85-nucleotide transfer RNA is filed under the name Felis catus (domestic cat). It matches the Rfam family "tRNA". Rfam says of the family: Transfer RNA (tRNA) molecules are approximately 80 nucleotides in length. Their secondary structure includes four short double-helical elements and three loops (D, anti-codon, and T loops). RNAcentral also lists the same sequence under 1 other name. Lineage: Eukaryota; Metazoa; Chordata; Mammalia; Carnivora; Felidae. The record is from Rfam by way of RNAcentral.